UGGGUAACCUGCCUCAAAGAGGGGAAUAGCCUCCCGAAAGGGAGAUUAAUACCGCAUAAUAUGUUUUAAUCGCAUGAUUUUAACAUCAAAGGAUUUUCUUCGGAACUUCCACGUUGAGAUGGACCCGCGGCGCAUUAGCUAGUUGGUGAGGUAACGGCUCACCAAGGCAACGAUGCG
RNAcentral lists this ribosomal RNA (177 nucleotides) under uncultured bacterium. Its description in RNAcentral is "partial 16S ribosomal RNA". It matches the Rfam family "Bacterial small subunit ribosomal RNA", at positions 118 to 283 of the family's 1533-position model. The record is from RNAcentral.